UUAAAUGUAGAGUGCUAUUUUUAGAGAUAGAAUUCCCGUUCGGGGCUUUCUGCAAGGUGCUGCAUGGUUGUCGUCAGCUCGUGCCGUGAGGUGUCGGGUUAAGUCCCAUAACGAGCGCAACCCUUAUCGUUAGUUGCCAUCUGGUAAUGCAGGGGACUCUAGCGAAACUGCCACCGUAAGGUGAGAGGAAGGUGGGAUGACGUCAAAUCAGCACGGCCCUUAUGUCCAGGGCUACACACGUGUUACAAUGGUCGGUACAGAGGGCAGCUACCUGGUGACAGGAUGCUAAUCUCGAAAACUGGUCUCAGUUCGGAUCGAAGUCUGCAACUCGACUUCGUGAAGCUGGAUUCGCUAGUAAUCGCGCAUCAGCUAUGGCGCGGUGAAUACGUUCCCGGGCCUU
RNAcentral lists this ribosomal RNA (400 nucleotides) under uncultured Sphingobacteriales bacterium. RNAcentral describes it as "bacterial SSU rRNA". It matches the Rfam family "Bacterial small subunit ribosomal RNA", at positions 981 to 1382 of the family's 1533-position model. The record is from RNAcentral. Lineage: Bacteria; Pseudomonadati; Bacteroidota; Sphingobacteriia; Sphingobacteriales.